AAGAUAGAAGGGCAUUUCCUGAUCCAGAAAGCUCAUUGGAGAAAGAUGAAGAUGGUCUGCAUAAAUAGUUACUGUGCAGUGUCCUAUGUGCAGAGAAAAUAUACCUCUUACCCUUUAGGUAGAUCAACUGGCUCCACCUGGCUACUUCUCAUCUAUAUACAAGUAGGUCCCAUGGCCCAAUCCCACAGCUCCCAGAGCAGGACCUGCCUCUUCAAUCUCACCAAGCC
This is a non-coding RNA of Phascolarctos cinereus (koala), 227 nucleotides long. NCBI's taxonomy places the organism in Eukaryota, Metazoa, Chordata, Mammalia, Diprotodontia, Phascolarctidae. The record is from RefSeq and is a predicted model, not a curated record.